GUGACGGUUUCGUUUCUCUCUAUACACACCAAACGCUCCAUCUUCACGUGUCGCUCUCUGGCUUUUUCUGUCUUCUGCUUCUUCUUCUUCUUCUCCUCCUCAUUGCUUAAGCUCUGUUUGUUUCGGCAAAACUUCUUACUUGCAUCCCCGUGCUUUUUAUCUUUGAGAGGUUGGUGCUGGUAUUUGAUUUCAGUGUAUAAAUACAUACACACAUAUAAGUAUUGCAAGAGAGAUUGAGAGGUUUAAGGAAGGGUGAGAAAUGGAGGAAAAGAAGCAGGUGGCCUCGUCUUCCUCCUUCACUUCUGAACUUUUUGGCUCCAAGGAUUCUACAUCUUCUACUGGGAUUUUUGGCUCUAUAUUUGCACCUCCCUCUAAGGUGUUGGGGAGAGGUUUGCUGCGAUCUGAAGUGUUAGGAAAGAAGCAAGGUUCUGUUAAUGAAGCUUGGAACACCAAACCUGGAACUCCAGAUGACAGUUCUAAAAGCAAUCAUGGUGAAGGUCAGAACGUGCCAAGUAGAGAUACAAAUUCCUUCUAUCAGGAGCAAAGAGUACAGCCAUGCCACCUCAGUUCAUCUAUCUAUUAUGGUGGUCAAGACAUUUAUCAUCAUCCCCAGAACAGCCAGAACUCUAAUAUGACCUCAAUGUUCAAGAAAGAUGGGACAGAAGACGACUCUGGGAGUGCUUCAAGAGGAAACUGGUGGCAGGGGUCUCUCUAUUAUUAAGAUCUCACCUGCCAUGACAUAUACUCAACUAGGUAUUUUUUUCUUCAGAGAUUUUGAAAAAGGUAAAUAGGCAACAUAUAGGGUAGCACCUCAGUCAUAUCUUUUUCUUAUAUGAAGAAAUCAAGCAUCAGGCGGAUCAUAGCAGAUAGCAGUUUGUUUUCCUAAAGCUAAAGAUAUACUAGUAUGAAAAAUUAACAUGCCUGUGUUUUGUAAUAUCUGAGACGUUUUGCUUCAGAGCUUAUAAGGAUGGAUAAAUUCUCUGCACUCCUCUUCUCACCCUUCUCUUGCUUGUUCUAUAAGUAAGUAUUACUUGAGAUUUUGGAUAGUUUAGUUGUGGUAACUUCUUAUACAUACACCUUCAUAGUGAACUUAACUGUUCCUCUCCUCAGUUUCUUAUAUAGGAGGAACAUCCAUUUUCCAGUAUGUCAUUCAAUAAGUUUCUUCUUAUUGCAAUAAUCUUUUUAGCUCUUAUAUAUCAGAAAGAUAUUUUCCUUAACUAGAGGUCUCAAGUUUAAGCCAGAAUACAAAGGACCUUUAAAUCUUGAGAGGUAAUGCAUUACCCCUUGUGCAGUGGAAAGAUUUAGCUGGAAUUGCAUCAAAUUAACAAUUAUACUCUUGCAUAUAGUUAAUAAUUGAUUCAUAUUUGGUGCAUUUACGCUCUUCCACGUACCCUUAGUACUCAUCCAUUGAUUUGAUGCAAUUUUUAUAGCCUUAGCCAUCAUGUGAUGUGAGUGGUCAAACAUUCUGGUCAGUAAGAUAUUCAUCCAUGAAAGCUCCCAAUCUUCUUUUCACAAGGUCUGCCUCAUUUCAGGGCCACCCAUCAGGAACUGGUUAGGACUGGACAAGAACUUGACAAAGUGGGGUGUGGUCCAGUUAUGUAUCUUGCUACGUGUCACACUUUGUUUCGUCUUCAAACCGUAAUGUCAACUUCUCAUCCUAGCUUAACAUCAAAUGUCUUUGCAUAUAUUCCCUAUUCGAAAAUGCGACCCACAGAUUUUAUUCA
RNA transcript from Manihot esculenta (cassava), 1724 nucleotides. RefSeq lists it as uncharacterized. The record is from RefSeq and is a predicted model, not a curated record. Lineage: Eukaryota; Viridiplantae; Streptophyta; Magnoliopsida; Malpighiales; Euphorbiaceae. The transcript is spliced from 6 exons.